RNAcentral lists this ribosomal RNA (455 nucleotides) under uncultured bacterium. Its description in RNAcentral is "bacterial SSU rRNA". It matches the Rfam family "Bacterial small subunit ribosomal RNA", at positions 29 to 524 of the family's 1533-position model. The record is from RNAcentral.
AACGAACGCUGGCGGCAUGCCUAACACAUGCAAGUCGAACGAUGGCUUCGGCCAUAGUGGCGCACGGGUGAGUAACGCGUGGGAACCUGCCUUUUGGUUUGGGAUAACUCCGGGAAACUGGAGCUAAUACCGGAUGAGCCCGAGCAAUCGGGGAAAGAUUUAUCGCCAAAAGAGGGGCCCGCGUCCGAUUAGGGUAGUUGGUGGGGUAACGGCCUACCAAGCCUACGAUCGGUAGCUGGUCUGAGAGGAUGAUCAGCCACACUGGGACUGAGACACGGCCCAGACUCCUACGGGAGGCAGCAGUGGGGAAUAUUGGACAAUGGGCGCAAGCCUGAUCCAGCAAUGCCGCGUGGAUGAUGAAGGCCUUAGGGUUGUAAAGUCCUUUCGGCGGGGACGAUGAUGACGGUACCCGCAGAAGAAGCCCCGGCUAACUUCGUGCCAGCAGCCGCGGUAAU